CUCGUAGGCGGUUCGUCGCGUCCGGUGUGAAAGUCCAUCGCUUAACGGUGGAUCCGCGCCGGGUACGGGCGGGCUUGAGUGCGGUAGGGGAGACUGGAAUUCCCGGUGUAACGGUGGAAUGUGUAGAUAUCGGGAAGAACACCAAUGGCGAAGGCAGGUCUCUGGGCCGUCACUGACGCUGAGGAGCGAAAGCGUGGGGAGCGAACAG
This 208-nucleotide ribosomal RNA is filed under the name uncultured bacterium. RNAcentral's name for it is "partial 16S ribosomal RNA". It matches the Rfam family "Bacterial small subunit ribosomal RNA", at positions 568 to 775 of the family's 1533-position model. The record is from RNAcentral.